This 484-nucleotide ribosomal RNA is filed under the name uncultured bacterium. RNAcentral describes it as "partial 16S ribosomal RNA". It matches the Rfam family "Bacterial small subunit ribosomal RNA", at positions 29 to 523 of the family's 1533-position model. The record is from RNAcentral.
AGUGAACGCUGGCGGCGUGCUUAACACAUGCAAGUCGAACGAGAACGGGUUAUAGCUUGCUAUAAUUGUCAGCUAAGUGGCGCACGGGUGAGUAAUGUAUAGGUAAUAUGCCUCUUACUAAGGGAUAACAAAUGGAAACGUUUGCUAAUACCUUAUACUCCUUAUUAACAGAAGUUAAUAAGGGAAAGAUUUAUUGGUAAGAGAUUAGCCUGUAUUGUAUCAGUUAGUUGGUGGGGUAAUGGCUUACCAAGACUAUGACACAUAACUGGUUUGAGAGGAUGAUCAGUCACACUGGAACUGAGACACGGUCCAGACUCCUACGGGAGGCAGCAGUGGGGAAUAUUGCACAAUGGACGAAAGUCUGAUGCAGCAACGCCGCGUGGAGGAUGACACAUUUCGGUGCGUAAACUCCUUUUGUAUGAGAAGAUAAUGACGGUAUUAUAUGAAUAAGCACCGGCUAACUCCGUGCCAGCAGCCGCCGUAA